RNAcentral lists this ribosomal RNA (375 nucleotides) under uncultured bacterium. Its description in RNAcentral is "partial 16S ribosomal RNA". It matches the Rfam family "Bacterial small subunit ribosomal RNA", at positions 338 to 730 of the family's 1533-position model. The record is from RNAcentral.
CCUACGGGUGGCAGCAGUAGGGAAUAUUGCUCAAUGGGGGAAACCCUGAAGCAGCAACGCCGCGUGGAGGAGGAAGGUUUUCGGAGUGGAAAAUCCUUUUGAUAGAGAAGAUAAAGACGGGAUCUAACGAAGAAGGACCGGAGAACGCCGUGACCGAAGCCGCGGUAAUAAGGAGGGUGCAAGCGUUACUCGGAAUCACUGGGCGUAACGAGCGCGUAGGCGGGAUAGCAAGUCAGAUGUGAAAUCCUAUGGCUUACCACUAGAACUGCAUUUGAAACUGUUAUUCUAGAGUAUGGGAGAGGUAGGUGGAAUUCUUGGUGUAGGGGUAAAAUCCGUAGAGAUCAAGAGGAAUACUCAUUGCGAAGGCGACCUGCU